UACGUAGGGUGCAAGCGUUAAUCGGAAUUACUGGGCGUAAAGCGUGCGCAGGCGGUCCGUUAAGACAGAUGUGAAAUCCCCGGGCUUAACCUGGGAACUGCAUUUGUGACUGGCGGACUCGAGUAUGGCAGAGGGGGUAGAAUUCCACGUGUAGCAGUGAAAUGCGUAGAGAUGUGGGAGGAUACCGAUGGCGAAGGCAGCCCCUGGGCCAAUACUGACGCUCAUGCACGAAAGGCGUGGGGAGCAAA
This 248-nucleotide ribosomal RNA is filed under the name uncultured bacterium. RNAcentral's name for it is "partial 16S ribosomal RNA". It matches the Rfam family "Bacterial small subunit ribosomal RNA", at positions 524 to 772 of the family's 1533-position model. The record is from RNAcentral.